RNAcentral lists this ribosomal RNA (493 nucleotides) under uncultured bacterium. Its description in RNAcentral is "partial 16S ribosomal RNA". It matches the Rfam family "Bacterial small subunit ribosomal RNA", at positions 30 to 507 of the family's 1533-position model. The record is from RNAcentral.
CGAACGCUGGCGGCGUGCCUAAUACAUGCAAGUAGAACGCUGAAGGAGGAGCUUGCUUCUCUGGAUGAGUUGCGAACGGGUGAGUAACGCGUAGGUAACCUGCCUGGUAGCGGGGGAUAACUAUUGGAAACGAUAGCUAAUACCGCAUAAGAGUAGAUGUUGCAUGACAUUUACUUAAAAGGUGCAAUUGCAUCACUACCAGAUGGACCUGCGUUGUAUUAGCUAGUUGGUGAGGUAACGGCUCACCAAGGCAACGGUACAUAGCCGACCUGAGAGGGUGAUCGGCCACACUGGGACUGAGACACGGCCCAGACUCCUACGGGAGGCAGCAGUAGGGAAUCUUCGGCAAUGGACGGAAGUCUGACCGAGCAACGCCGCGUGAGUGAAGAAGGUUUUCGGAUCGUAAAGCUCUGUUGUAAGAGAAGAACGAGUGUGAGAGUGGAAAGUUCACACUGUGACGGUAGCUUACCAGAAAGGGACGGCUAACUACGUG